Molecule: long non-coding RNA, 649 nt
Organism: Notolabrus celidotus (New Zealand spotty)
Lineage: Eukaryota; Metazoa; Chordata; Actinopteri; Labriformes; Labridae
Exons: 3
Source: RefSeq, a predicted model, not a curated record
GAGUUGUCUUCUGGGACUGAAAAUGAAAUAGCACAAGCACUUUGAAAUGGUUACACGUCUGUUCACUUUAGCAUCUGAUUCCUCUGGGGCUCAUCUCUGCCAAAGCUAAAAAAGCCUGCUGCUGGAGCAGCAUUGUUUGCUUAUCGCCAGCCUGGGCAUACGAUUUCAAGUUUGAGUGGGGGUGACACACUCCAUUAUGCCGUGAUUGUGGAAUAAAUAGAUGUUUGAAUGGUUUCUUUGAAUUGUUUUCUAUGCUCAUUGUAGCUUAUAUUCGUAGUUCAAACGGGGGAAACAAAACCGAGGGAAGGAUCCGGGGAAGCAGUGUUUGCCUACUCCAAACGGCUUACCAGGAGAUUGAUUUUCAGGUACAGUGUGCAGAAAUGGGAAUAUUUGAUGCUGUCCAGCGGUGAGAUUCUAGAUUGAGACGCUCCCUUGCUCACCCCACCCAUCGCUGAAGCAGUGGUGACCUCUGAGGACAGGAAGCUGUUGUGAUUCAUGAUAGGAUGUGGAUCAGGAACAGUGAGGAUUCUGCAGAAGAACUGACACAUGUAGCUGGCAGCUGAAAACAACCCCUCAGUCGCUACAGUCAAAGUGGUCACCACAGUUUGUGUGGUAAAGUCUGACGUUUGGCAAAAUAAAGAGAUUUCAA